GAUCAUCGAAUCUUUGAACGCACAUUGCGCCCUUCGGUAUUCCGUUGGGCAUGCCUGUUCGAGCGUCAUUUAAACAUUCAAGCCCAGCUUGGUGUUGGGUGCUUGUCCUCCCCCGCGGUGGACUCACCUCAAAUGCAUUGGCGGCCGGUAUGUUGGCUUCGAGCGUAGUAGAAACGCGCCAGACGUCCUGACAUGCUGGUCCCCCACAAGACCAUUCUUUUAGCUUGACCUCGGAUCAGGUAGGGAUACCCGCUGAACUUAAGCAUAUCAAUAAGCGGAGGAAAAGAAACCAACAGGGAUUGCCCUAGUAACGGCGAGUGAAGCGGCAACAGCUCAAAUUUGAAAUCUGGCCCUUUCAGGGUCCGAGUUGUAAUUUGUAGAGGGCGCUUUGGUGUUGGCUGCGGUCUAAGUUCCUUGGAACAGGACGUCACAGAGGGUGAGAAUCCCGUACGUGGUCGACAGUCUUCACCGUGUAAAGCCCCUUCGACGAGUCGAGUUGUUUGGGAAUGCAGCUCUAAAUGGGAGGUAAAUUUCUUCUAAAGCUAAAUAUUGGCCAGAGACCGAUAGCGCACAAGUAGAGUGAUCGAAAGAUGAAAAGCACUUUGGAAAGAGAGUCAAAAAGCACGUGAAAUUGUUGAAAGGGAAGCGCUUGCAAUCAGACUUGCCUGUAGUUGCUCAUCUGGACUUUUGUCCGGUGCACUCUUCUGCGGGCAGGCCAGCAUCAGUUCAGGCGGCUGGAUAAAGGCCUCUAUCACGUAUCUUCCUUCGGGAUGACCUUAUAGGGGAGGUGUAAUGCAGCCAGCCUGGAUUGAGGUCCGCGCAUCUGCUAGGAUGCUGGCGUAAUGAUUGUAAGCGGCCCGUCUUGAAACACGAAGCGGCCCGUCUUGAAACACGGACCAAGGAGUCUAACAUCUAUGCGAGUGUUUGGGUGUCAAGCCCGGACGCGCAAUGAAAGUGAACGGAGGUGGGAACCCUUACGGGUGCACCAUCGACCGAUCCUGAUGUCUUCGGAUGGAUUUGAGUAAGAGCAUAGCUGUUGGGACCCGAAAGAUGGUGAACUAUGCCUGAAUAGGGUGAAGCCA
Molecule: ribosomal RNA, 1082 nt
Filed under: Nigrograna mackinnonii
Lineage: Eukaryota; Fungi; Ascomycota; Dothideomycetes; Pleosporales; Nigrogranaceae
Description: eukaryotic LSU rRNA
Rfam family: Eukaryotic large subunit ribosomal RNA (bases 226-1082)
Source: RNAcentral